RNAcentral lists this long non-coding RNA (4950 nucleotides) under Capsicum annuum. Its description in RNAcentral is "long non-coding RNA (CANN_LNC002553)". Lineage: Eukaryota; Viridiplantae; Streptophyta; Magnoliopsida; Solanales; Solanaceae. The record is from RNAcentral.
AAUCAGCCACACAAAAUGCUCCUCCUUCUCUCUAGUCUCUCUAUCUCUGUCUCUCUUCCCCUCUCAUAAACCAUGGCUGCCACCUCCACUGGCCGGUGAAGUCCGGAGCACCAUCCGUCACCUCCCUUCCUCCUCUCCGACGAACACCAUCGCCGCCGCCGCUGCCGCCCUUUGAUUUUCCGGCGAAUAACCAACUAUGUGAAGCCACCGCCGAACCAGCAACCUCCUUCCCCAUCGCGGCUCCAUAUCCAGCUACCACUGCACUAAGCCGCUCAACCGCGCCACCAGAAGCCCUCAAAAACCUCCAGCCCACCGCUGCCUCUCCCAACCUCGCCGGCGAAGGCUCCAAUGAGCCAAUCAGCCCUCUCAUCUCCAUGUCGAUGCUCGAUUUUCGCCGAAAAUAUUGUAUUUCAUGAUGGAUUCAUCAAAUCCGUCUCAGGUUUGUUAUUUUGUUCAAAUUUCUUUCUUCUACUUCUUUAUUUAUUUUCUCUUCUGAUAGAUCUUAUUAGACUUAAAUUGAUCAUGAAUUUUGAGUUGUUUUAAUGUGUUCAUGUUUGCAGACCAACAUCCGUGAAAAAUGCAUAACUUUUGUGGAUUUUAAGCAAACAGUCAUAACUUUGAUUACGAAAGUUUGAUUUAGUUGAUUGAGUUAUUCACAUGAUUAAAUUAUUAGAGUUAUCCUGUUGGUAUGUUGUGAAUUUUGCCCAUCUUUGUGUCUUUGUGUUGUUACUUUGAUAGCAGGUGUUCUUUGAUAUGACUAUGGACUGAUUCAGAUACAAUUAGCAUAGCGUUACUAGGUGUAAAUUGCGUGACUUUUGAUAAAGGGUUUGACACUAGUUGAUUCACUCCUAAUUGGAAUAACCUUGAUGCCUAGUUAAUUUUGGUAGAUUAUAAAUUUUUUCCCCUUCCCUUCAUAUGACACUUUUGUUACUUGAAUAGGUACGGUAAAUACAUAAUUGGUGCUUUUCAUUGAAAUAUAAUUGAUAUAUAAUUGAUUUGCUUAAUUGACAUUUUACUUUUUUUUUUUUUGACUGAAUUGGGUAUUUUAAGUGUGAUUUUAUAUAUAUGAAAAACUCCCUUGAUUGACUUCAUCCAAUAUUCCCCUCUUCCUUAAUUGAUUCUGACUGAUUUUUGAAUAUCUCUUUGCCCUUUUCUGUUGUGGCUAAUUGACUCUGACAUAUUGCCUUUUUUUUGGACUCUUUAUCCUCUCACUAUAUAAACAGACCCUCUUCCUUAAUUGAUUCUGACUGAUUUUUGAAUAUCUCUUUUCCUUUUCUGUUGUGGCUAAUUGACUCUGACAUAUUGUCUUUUCUGUUGACUCUUUAUCCUCUCACUAUAUAAACAGACCCUCUUUUCAAUUAGAGGACAACAAUCAUAUUCCACUUUCUCUGCUUUUACUCUCUGAAACAUAAAGAACUACUAGCUAUUCUAAUAGAAAAAAAAUACAUAUUUCUCAAGCUGUGUGGCGUUUCUUGUUGAGUUUUAUGGAAGUAUUCUGUAUCUCACCAUUGGGAGUGCUUUACUUCAACAUCCUUCUAAUUAUUUAUUUUAUCUACUGCUCACUAAUAAGUUCUCAAAUCGAUGUAAUCUUUUUUUAUUAUUUUUUGUUUAUGUUGAUUGCAUCAUGUUAAAACCUUUAGAAAGCAUGUCUAUAGGAAUAUUUCAAUAUUAGAUGCUCUUGUUUUCUUGCUAUUAUAUCUUGUCUCGCAGGUUUAAAUAGAUAAUUAUGGAGUUUCAAAAAGUCGUCGGAAUGUUUAAACUGAAUAUGUUGUUCUUUAUAGCUAGUUGUUUUUCUUUCUUCUUAUUUUAUAUUAUUUGGUCUGUAAUAUUACUGUAAAGAUAUUAUUAUUGUAAUGAUAAUUUUAGAGAUUGCUUGGGGCAGGAACUUACGUGCUCUAUGAAUAGUAUAGAUAGGCACAACUUAGAUUUUAUGUUUGUUACAUGCUACGUGAAUUAUUUAGGCACAUAACAUUAGGAUUUAUUAACACAUGAAUCGUUUAGACACUUUUAUUAAUUGAUUCGCUUAGAAAUCUUUCUCCCGACAUAUUAAAUUGAGUUUAUGCAUGCUAAUACCUCUUUUGACAUCUCCACAUUGAGUUUAAGCAUGGUAACAUUUUUAGUACAUUGGCCUACUACAUUAAAUGUUUGCAUGUUAAACACUGCAAUUUAUUAACUUCGCAUUGCAUGUUUUGGCGUGUUAAUACAAUUUAGGCAUAUUAAAACAAGUUUGAGCAUGUUAAUAUUGUGAGCAUGUCAAUAAUUAAUUUUUGCAUAUUAAUACACUUUUAGCAUGUUUAGACACUCAGAUUAAGUAUAUCAUUUCGUAGUAUAUCAUUUCGUGUUUUCGACAUGUAAACAAUAUUUAAGCAUGAUAAUAUGGUAUGCAUGUUAACAAUUAAUUGUAUGCAUAUUAAUGAAUUUUUCAACACGUUAAAAGAUGUCAAAAACUGGAAUUAAUUAUGUUGUCGCAUAUUUUAGCAUAUAAAUACAAAUCUAAGCUGCUAACGUUUUUUAGAGCAUGUUAACAUUAAACUUCUACCCGUUAAUAUAUUUCGACAUGCCAAAGUAGUAUAGUUCAUGCGUGUUAAAACAAUUAAGUUUCGGCAUGUUAAAAUAGUAGAUUUUAGACAUUUUCAGCAUGUUAUUGCAUUUUCCAGCAUAUUAACAUGAAAUUUCUGCACCAUUAGCAUAAUUUUUAGCAUGUUAAGCAUUAAAUUUUAGGCAUUUUCAGCAUGUUAUUGCAAUUUAAGCAUGUCAACAUGAAUUUUCUGCGCACUAAUACAAUUGCCAAUAUGUUAAAAUGUAGGUUGUUGAGCAUUUUCAACAUGUUAAACACUAGAUUAAGUAGCCUUAGCAUGUUAAUGUAUUUUCAAUAUUUGUUAAUUUCUUACUCUCAUUAGUUUAUAACACUUGCACAAUGAAAGUCGUGAGCAUAACUUCUUGACAUAUUUACCGCACUUUGACAUCCUCUUUCAAUAAUUUGACAACACAUUGUUACAGACCCUCUCUCUUUAAAAAUCCCAAAAAGAGUGGUUAUGUCAAAUUUUGCUUUUCGCAAGAAAAAAUGGGGCGCGACAGAAUGACGACUCUACUGGGGAUCUUAGGUUCUAACCAUUACGAAUUUGUGCUUUACGUGGGAUUCCCUCCAUUUGUUUUGAUAAUGUUUGACAUCCUGAUUUAUUUUUUAUCUGUUCUUCUUUUAUCAUUUACUUACACCAUGAUUUAUUAGUCCUUUCUCCUUUUCCCUUUUUAUGUGUUUUUAUAUGUCUCCAUAUCUAUCCCAUUUCCUUUUUCCCUUUUUAUUGUUUAUGCGUUAUCAUGUUCAUCUAUAUGCAUGUUAUAUUUCACUAUGUGCUAUGUGUUACUGCUUUUAUAUAACUGGCCUUCUGCUCAUACUUUCCUCCAAUUGGAACUCUUUUUACGAAUGGUUGCGUAGGUACACAGACGUUCUUUCCUAAACACCAUAUGGGAAAUGCCUUGUGGAUCAAUCGAUCAGCGGUGCGUAACAGUCACAAACUUUCCCACUCGAGGGAACCAUGUUAUAAACCGACUCUUUUCCUUUAGGUCUUGGCUACAUAUUUCUUUUAUUAAGGAAUAUGCAUCCCAUUCAACGUCGGAUGUCUUGGCAUCCUUGACGCAUUGAAUGUUAGUCUCAUUCAAAGUCCAAAGAGUUUCAUGAUCUCAAAGGGACUCACAAUUAUUUGCUAUGUGUUGCAUUUCUAUGUAUGUAUUUAUAUCUUGCCUAUUUUGUUGUUUCCGUUCUUGCUUUAGUCACUCCUUACUUUUAGUAUUCCUCACUUUAGAACUCUUUACUUUUAUAAUUCUUGUCAUGUUAGGACCCUACAAGGCACUCUUAGGGCCUAUUCAAAAUCCUCUAAUUCAUCCCUACUUGCCAUUCAACUUCUACAACCCUCAAAAUUCUGAACUACGUCCGACCUGAUUCUUGUUUAAACAAGAUAAGUAGGCAAUCCUUUACGAGGGUACGGUCUUUCUUUUCCCUUUCUUUUACAAAACAUCCUAAUAUUUGAAAAUGCGAAACAAACUUAUUCAUUCAAAUAGUUUUUCUAUGAAAACAUAUUCUCCAUUUCUUUCACCUUUCCAUAAUGUCAUAAGGGUGAAACUUAGAAGCUUUUCUCUGAAUCAUUCCAACAACUUUUCACAAUUUUUUUAACUCUCAGACAUUUCGAACUAAAUAUUUUAAAAUUUUCAAAACUUUUCAAAUCUUUAAUUCUCCCAUCCAGUCCAAAACAAUUUCUUUAAACACUUUAUGUGCAUCUUUUAAAUAGCUUAUCGUUAUCAGUUUUAAGUACAAACUUAGUACCUAAGUCUUGAGUGGAGCCUAUCUUCUACUUUUGAUGUCAAAUCAUUUCUGAAGCUUAAGUUCUAACCCACCUAUUCUCCCUGAAGUCCUCCUUGACAAAAUGACUCAUAUUAUCGUACUGUAUAUUUUCUUAUUGGAUCCACUCGCUCCUAUUUUGUUCAAAUUGCUAUUUUAUCAAACAUCGGCUCAUUUGAAAAUCUGCGAUAUGACAAAUAUGCUCAAUAUUUCAAAAAAUUUCAUCAUUUUCUUCUUGUCCAAGGCGAUACACUGCUUGAAUUGUAUCUCUUUAUUCUCACCCUAUCCCUACCAACAACAAAUAUUUAGGUUAUGUUUCUUGUGAUUGUGAUAAAGUAAUCCGAACCAAAGAUUGAGCAAAUGAGGUUAGAAAUUCCUAAUUCCAAGCUUCUAUGCGUCAGACUUGGAUUAUAAUAUCAUAAGUCACAUAUAUUUGUCAUCCUCAACCUACCUCGGACUUAAUAAGGCUUCAUACAUUAUAGAACAUUUUAUUCUUGCAUAUUAACAUGUUUAAUUUUUCACUAUAUAUCAUAUUCACCUUACUAACUUGACUUUUUUUUCUUUUUUUCUUUUUUUUUUUUAAUUUUAUUUAUUUUUUUCUCCCACGCCCAAAG